RNAcentral lists this ribosomal RNA (306 nucleotides) under Triticum aestivum (bread wheat). RNAcentral describes it as "partial small subunit ribosomal RNA". Lineage: Eukaryota; Viridiplantae; Streptophyta; Magnoliopsida; Poales; Poaceae. The record is from RNAcentral.
AUGGAGUCCUCGUCGCCGCACUCGCCGCCGUCGCUGCGCCACAAGCUGCGGACCACCGUGUGCGGCUGCUUCGGCUCGCCGUCGUCACCCGGCAGCAGCGGGGAGAGGCCGCAAAGUGGCGGCAGGGCCAAGUGGAGAAGGCGCGUGGCGGCCGCGGGAGAAUUUAGGUACGACCCGCUCAGCUACGCGCUCAACUUCGACGACGGCGACACCGACGCGGACGACAACGCCUUCCGGCACAGAAACUUCAGCUCGCGCCUGCCGCCUUCGCCGGCGCCGGCCUCCCGCGCCGUCGCCAUCGCCUGA